AGUGAACGCUGGCGGUAGGCCUAACACAUGCAAGUCGAACGGCAGCACAGUAAGAGCUUGCUCUUACGGUUGGCGAGUGGCGGACGGGUGAGGAAUACAUCGGAAUCUACUUUUUCGUGGGGGAUAACGUAGGAAAACUUACGCUAAUACCGCAUACGACCUACGGGUGAAAGCAGGAGAUCUUCGGACCUUGCGCGAUUGAAUGAGCCGAUGUCGGAUUAGCUAGUGGGCGAGGUAAAGGCCCACCAAGGCGACGAUCCGUAGCUGGUCUGAGAGGAUGAUCGGACACACUGGAACUGAGACACGCUCCAGACUCCUACGCGAGGCAGCAGUAGCGAAUCUUCCGCAGUGGGAGAAAGCCUGACGGCGCAACGCCGCGUGAGUCAGUAAGGUCUUCGGAUCGUAAAACUCUGUUAAUAGGGAAGAACAAAUGUGUAAGUAACUAUGCACGUCUCGACGGUACCUAAUCAGAAAGCCACGGCUAACUACGUG
Molecule: ribosomal RNA, 492 nt
Filed under: uncultured bacterium
Lineage: Bacteria
Description: partial 16S ribosomal RNA
Rfam family: Bacterial small subunit ribosomal RNA
Source: RNAcentral